This 555-nucleotide ribosomal RNA is filed under the name Bifidobacterium pseudocatenulatum. Its description in RNAcentral is "bacterial SSU rRNA". It matches the Rfam family "Bacterial small subunit ribosomal RNA", at positions 145 to 711 of the family's 1533-position model. The record is from RNAcentral. Lineage: Bacteria; Bacillati; Actinomycetota; Actinomycetes; Bifidobacteriales; Bifidobacteriaceae.
GUCUCCUGGAAAACGGGUGGUAAUGCCGGAUGCUCCGACUCCUCGCAUGGGGUGUCGGGAAAGAUUUCAUCGGUAUGGGAUGGGGUCGCGUCCUAUCAGGUAGUCGGCGGGGUAACGGCCCACCGAGCCUACGACGGGUAGCCGGCCUGAGAGGGCGACCGGCCACAUUGGGACUGAGAUACGGCCCAGACUCCUACGGGAGGCAGCAGUGGGGAAUAUUGCACAAUGGGCGCAAGCCUGAUGCAGCGACGCCGCGUGCGGGAUGACGGCCUUCGGGUUGUAAACCGCUUUUGAUCGGGAGCAAGCCUUCGGGUGAGUGUACCUUUCGAAUAAGCACCGGCUAACUACGUGCCAGCAGCCGCGGUAAUACGUAGGGUGCAAGCGUUAUCCGGAAUUAUUGGGCGUAAAGGGCUCGUAGGCGGUUCGUCGCGUCCGGUGUGAAAGUCCAUCGCUUAACGGUGGAUCUGCGCCGGGUACGGGCGGGCUGGAGUGCGGUAGGGGAGACUGGAAUUCCCGGUGUAACGGUGGAAUGUGUAGAUAUCGGGAAGAACACCA